AUGAGCAUUAUAAAAAUAUUUCUGCGUUCCUCACUGCAGGUACAAUCCGUUAAUCACUGUGUUUUUCUGACCAAUUUCAUAAUUCAUGGAUUCGAUUACCUGUGUUGGCGCUGGUUCUUCCAAGUAGUUUCCCUUGUGCCCUGUUUUCUACUUGUUAACACUGAUAUAAUUGCAAGAAUACCAUGGCAAAGACAACAAGUGCUAAACAAUGUGCUUGAUCAGUAUACUACUUUCUCCUUUGUUUAUAGUCAAUUAGCUGUGAAGCUACAGAAGGCAAUUUGCUCAGAUGAAGAAUAUUGGUUUGCCUUAUUCAGGAAACAUAUUUCUUAA
Molecule: ribosomal RNA, 330 nt
Filed under: Triticum aestivum (bread wheat)
Lineage: Eukaryota; Viridiplantae; Streptophyta; Magnoliopsida; Poales; Poaceae
Description: partial small subunit ribosomal RNA
Source: RNAcentral